Molecule: ribosomal RNA, 429 nt
Filed under: Pseudomonadota bacterium
Lineage: Bacteria; Pseudomonadati; Pseudomonadota
Description: Proteobacteria bacterium partial 16S ribosomal RNA
Rfam family: Bacterial small subunit ribosomal RNA
Source: RNAcentral
UGGGGAAUAUUGGACAAUGGGCGAAAGCCUGAUCCAGCCAUGCCGCGUGUGUGAAGAAGGUCUUCGGAUUGUAAAGCACUUUAAGGUGGGAGGAAGGGCAGUAAGCGAAUACCUUGCUGUUUUGACGUUACCGCCAGAAUAAGCACCGGCUAACUCUGUGCCAGCAGCCGCGGUAAUACAGAGGGGGCAAGCGUUAAUCGGAAUUACUGGGCGUAAAGCGCGCGUAGGUGGUUCGUUAAGUUGAAUGUGAAAGCCCCGGGCUCAACCUGGGAACUGCAUCCAAAACUGGCGAGCUAGAGUAGGGCAGAGGGUGGUGGAAUUUCCUGUGUAGCGGUGAAAUGCGUAGAUAUAGGAAGGAACACCAGUGGCGAAGGCGACCACCUGGGCUCAUACUGACACUGAGGUGCGAAAGCGUGGGGAGCAAACAGG